RNAcentral lists this ribosomal RNA (433 nucleotides) under uncultured bacterium. Its description in RNAcentral is "partial 16S ribosomal RNA". It matches the Rfam family "Bacterial small subunit ribosomal RNA", at positions 29 to 507 of the family's 1533-position model. The record is from RNAcentral.
AACGAACGCUGGCGGCAUGCCUAACACAUGCAAGUCGAACGAUACCUUCGGGGCUUGUGGCGCACGGGUGCGUAACGCGUGGGAAUCAGCCCUUCGGUUGGGUAUACCUGAGAGAAAUUUCAGCUAAUACCUUAUAAUGUCUUCGGACCAAAGAUUUAUCGCCGAGGGAUGAGCCCGCGUAGGAUUAGGUAGUUGGUGGGGUAAUGGCCUACCAAGCCGCCGAUCCUUAGCUGGUCGGAUAGGAGGAUCAGCCACGCUGGGACUGAGACACGGACCAGACUGCGACGGGGCGGAGCAGUGGAGUAUAUUGGGGGAUGGACGCAAGCCUAGUCCAGCAACGCCGGGUGAGAGAUCAAGGCCUUAGGGUUGUAAAGCUCUUUUACACGGGAUGAUAAUGACAGUACCGGGAGAAUAAGCUCCGGCUAACUCCGUG